Molecule: ribosomal RNA, 415 nt
Filed under: uncultured bacterium
Lineage: Bacteria
Description: bacterial SSU rRNA
Rfam family: Bacterial small subunit ribosomal RNA
Source: RNAcentral
UCGGGAAUAUUGCGCAAUGGAGGAAACUCUGACGCAGUGACGCCGCGUGCAGGAAGAAGGUUUUCGGAUUGUAAACUGCUUUAGACAGGGAAGAAUAAAGACAGUACCUGUAGAAUAAGCUCCGGCUAACUACGUGCCAGCAGCCGCGGUAAUACGUAGGGAGCAAGCGUUAUCCGGAUUUAUUGGGUGUAAAGGGUGCGUAGACGGGAAAACAAGUUAGUUGUGAAAUCCCUCGGCUUAACUGAGGAACUGCAACUAAAACUAUUUUUCUUGAGUGUUGGAGAGGAAAGUGGAAUUCCUAGUGUAGCGGUGAAAUGCGUAGAUAUUAGGAGGAACACCGGUGGCGAAGGCGACUUUCUGGACAAUAACUGACGUUGAGGCACGAAAGUGUGGGGAGCAAACAGGAUUAGAUACC